GGAUGGRWAAUUUGGGCAGAGAUGCCUUAGUGCCUUCGGGAACCGUGAGACAGGUGCUGCAUGGCUGUCGUCAGCUGAGAGGKGAAAUGUUGGGUUAAGUCCCGCAACGAGCGCAACCCUUAUCCUWUGUUGCCAGCGGUCCGGCCGGGAACUCAAAGGAGACUGCCAGUGAUAAACUGGAGGAAGGUGGGGAUGACGUCAAGUCAUCAUGGCCCUUACGACCAGGGCUACACACGUGCUACAAUGGCAUAUACAAAGAGAAGCGACCUCGCGAGAGCAAGCGGACCUCAUAAAGUAUGUCGUAGUCCGGAUUGGAGUCUGCAACUCGACUCCAUGAAGUCGGAAUCGCUAGUAAUCGUGGAUCAGAAUGCCACGGUGAAUACGUUCCCGGGUCUUGUACACACCGAA
This 408-nucleotide ribosomal RNA is filed under the name Enterobacter sp. 62(2012). RNAcentral describes it as "bacterial SSU rRNA". It matches the Rfam family "Bacterial small subunit ribosomal RNA", at positions 989 to 1394 of the family's 1533-position model. Lineage: Bacteria; Pseudomonadati; Pseudomonadota; Gammaproteobacteria; Enterobacterales; Enterobacteriaceae. The record is from RNAcentral.